UAGACAGAUUUUUGUAUUCGACUGUAUUCACGGCGUAAAUAGCGCAAUUCAUGGUCUAUUCAGCUGUUUUUAAAUGGAAAGUGAAUCAAUUAACAUAAUAGACUCCU
RNAcentral lists this microRNA precursor (107 nucleotides) under Nicotiana attenuata. RNAcentral's name for it is "MIR6152 microRNA precursor family". It matches the Rfam family "MIR6152 microRNA precursor family". The record is from Rfam by way of RNAcentral. Lineage: Eukaryota; Viridiplantae; Streptophyta; Magnoliopsida; Solanales; Solanaceae.